GACGGAGGGUGCUAGCGUUGUUCGGAAUCACUGGGCGUAAAGGGCGCGUAGGCGGCCUUGCACGUCGGUUGGUGAAAGCCCGGGGCUCAACCCCGGAGGUGCGGCCGAGACUGCAGGGCUGGAGGCCGGAAGAGGAGGGUGGAAUACCCAGUGUAGAGGUGAAAUUCGUAGAUAUUGGGUGGAACACCGGUGGCGAAAGCGGCUCUCUGGUCCGGACCUGACGCUGAGGCGCGAAAGCGUGGGGAGCAAACAGG
Molecule: ribosomal RNA, 254 nt
Filed under: uncultured bacterium
Lineage: Bacteria
Description: partial 16S ribosomal RNA
Rfam family: Bacterial small subunit ribosomal RNA
Source: RNAcentral